This 27-nucleotide non-coding RNA is filed under the name Rattus norvegicus (Norway rat). Lineage: Eukaryota; Metazoa; Chordata; Mammalia; Rodentia; Muridae. The record is from RNAcentral.
UUAAAAAUACAGAAGUUGGGACUACCU